GACGAACGCUGGCGGCGUGCUUAACACAUGCAAGUCGAACGGAAAGGCUCCAGCUUGCUGGAGUACUCGAGUGGCGAACGGGUGAGUAACACGUGGGUAAUCUGCCCUGCACUCUGGGAUAAGCCUGGGAAACUGGGUCUAAUACUGGAUAUGGCCUUUCUCCUUAUGGGGUUUGGUGGAAAGUUUUUCGGUGUAGGAUGAGCCCGCGGCCUAUCAGCUUGUUGGUGGGGUGAUGGCCUACCAAGGCGACGACGGGUAGCCGGCCUGAGAGGGUGAUCGGCCACAUUGGGACUGAGAUACGGCCCAGACUCCUACGGGAGGCAGCAGUGGGGAAUAUUGCACAAUGGGCGGAAGCCUGAUGCAGCGACGCCGCGUGAGGGAUGACGGCCUUCGGGUUGUAAACCUCUUUCAGCAGGGACGAAGCGUAAGUGACGGUACCUGCAGAAGAAGCACCGGCUAACUAUGUG
Molecule: ribosomal RNA, 467 nt
Filed under: uncultured bacterium
Lineage: Bacteria
Description: partial 16S ribosomal RNA
Rfam family: Bacterial small subunit ribosomal RNA
Source: RNAcentral